CACGUAGGGCGCAAGCGUUGUCCGGAAUUAUUGGGCGUAAAGAGCUCGUAGGCGGUCUGUUGCGUCCGCUGUGAAAACUCGGGGCUUAACCCCGAGCCUGCAGUGGAUACGGGCAGACUAGAGGUAGGUAGGGGAGAAUGGAAUUCCCGGUGUAGCGGUGAAAUGCGCAGAUAUCGGGAGGAACACCGGUGGCGAAGGCGGUUCUCUGGGCCUUACCUGACGCUGAGGGACGAAAGCUAGGGGAGCGAAUGGG
This 253-nucleotide ribosomal RNA is filed under the name uncultured bacterium. Its description in RNAcentral is "partial 16S ribosomal RNA". It matches the Rfam family "Bacterial small subunit ribosomal RNA", at positions 524 to 776 of the family's 1533-position model. The record is from RNAcentral.